Molecule: ribosomal RNA, 468 nt
Filed under: bacterium enrichment culture clone ALO1_GLFRUDD03GQFJD
Lineage: Bacteria
Description: bacterial SSU rRNA
Rfam family: Bacterial small subunit ribosomal RNA
Source: RNAcentral
GAGUUUGAUCAUGGCUCAGAUUGAACGCUGGCGGCAGGCCUAACACAUGCAAGUCGAGCGGAUGACGGGAGCUUGCUCCUUGAUUCAGCGGCGGACGGGUGAGUAAUGCCUGGGAAUCUGCCUGGUAGUGGGGGACAACGUUUCGAAAGGAACGCUAAUACCGCAUACGUCCUACGGGAGAAAGCAGGGGACCUUCGGGCCUUGCGCUAUCAGAUGAGCCUAGGUCGGAUUAGCUAGUUGGUGGGGUAAUGGCUCACCAAGGCGACGAUCCGUAACUGGUCUGAGAGGAUGAUCAGUCACACUGGAACUGAGACACGGUCCAGACUCUACGGGAGGCAGCAGUGGGGAAUAUUGGACAAUGGGCGAAAGCCUGAUCCAGCCAUGCCGCGUGUGUGAAGAAGGUCUUCGGAUUGUAAAGGCACUUUAAGUUGGGAGGAAGGGCAGUAGUUAAUACCUUGCUGUUUGACG